UCAACUUUGUUUAUCUUGUUUCUUUUUUCUCUUAAAAGCAAUUGAAUGAAGUGCACGACGGGAGUCAUGCCGUUUGGAGUCUGCGUCAUUCUAUUUCAUAGCAAGAUAGCAAAAGGCUUAAGGCCAGCCAAUAUGGCUAGAAACUGUAGGACCUUAUUUUCUGCGGGUCCCUUUUAUGGACUGAACAAUUGUCUCCCUUGGGCCCAAAAAUGUUAUGUGACCCUAAUCCCAGUAAACAAAUGAGAGGGAUUUCGAUGGUAACGUGUUCAUCAGUACACAUAGUUCGUGAUUCAUAUUUAUGAGAAAUGCACACAUAUUAUCCGGAAACUAAUCCAUGGUAAUUAGUUGAUAUCAUAUCUUUUUUUUCCGGAUAUGGAGGGAGAGCAGGAAAAGGAUAAACUAGUAAGAAAUAGUGGUGGAAACAGAAACAUAGAAACAGAGCUGAGAGCCGAGGGAGGAUGCAAAAGUGAAAGCGAAAGGAUAAUAAUAAUCUCAGUGCAAAGGAGAGCGGGUAUAACUAUAUUUGAUGUGAAUGUCUCCUUUCUUUAAUUUCCCUACCAAUAGAAAUGAAGUCUUGCCUCUGCCUUGUAGCCAUGUAACCCAUCUAUUUUUCCAAAGUGGAAGGAAACC
Molecule: long non-coding RNA, 630 nt
Filed under: Ricinus communis (castor bean)
Lineage: Eukaryota; Viridiplantae; Streptophyta; Magnoliopsida; Malpighiales; Euphorbiaceae
Description: long non-coding RNA (RCOM_LNC000392)
Source: RNAcentral